CUGAUGUGGUUGGCUGCCAACCGAAUUUGGUUGAUUGCUUGCCCCUUUUAAGCCCAAUGCAGUUUUCUUCUUUAUGUGGUUAUUAGUUGCUCUGCACUUUUUUGCUCUGCACUUUUGCAAAAAAGCGCAUCACCUUCCUAGCAAAACUCGCUAGAUUUGGACCCGCGGAUCAAAAGAUAUGGGGAUUUUUAAGGUUGGGGAGGGCAGUCACCUUCAGAAUCGCGUGCAUCCCAGAAGAGUUUGGUGUGGGUCUGGAAAACAUUCUGGAUCACCAUAUGUAAAUAGGCUGGAGUGAUUUCUAUAUUUUGACAGAGAAGUUUACUAAUGGUUAGCUUUCUUCAGGAUCUCAAGUUUGACAACAAAAGAAAGGGCUGCUGCCCCGUUAUCGUCGUCAUCCUCACGCAGCUCGGCAGAGAGAAAAGAGGAGGUCACCGUGAGACGACGGAAGAUCAAAGGAGGAUGGAUGAGUGCAUCACUACAGUACUGCCCUGUUUCUCCUUGUUGGCAGCACUGACUCGAUUUCAUACGAAAGGAGGAUGAGUGCAUCACUACACUUUUUCAUAGGCACUACCAAUAUACUGAACUAUGACCAAAAUUAUUUGGCAAACUUCAUGAGUGAGUUGAGAUUGAAGGUUAUUACUGGCUAUUGAUGUGAUGGCACCUGUCAUGGCAAACUUCACGAGUGACCAAAUAUCAGGUGGACCAGGAACCGAGGGCCUUGUUCUAUUUGUCGGUCACCCUUGCCUUGGCACUAGCCGUGCAAUGGAAGAGCACCCAUCCUCAUAGAACCAUCAUUAGAAUGAGCAAAGCGCCACUUCAUUUAGAGAAGAAAGAAAGGAGAAGAAUGGCGCUAUUCCUUGAUGCUGAGGUCCUCGAAGAAAUUACAUGAAGGUGGCUUCGGAGUUCUCUUUGGCUUCAGUUCAAACCUCAUCAUAUUGCGGCUGGAGCUGCAUUCCUUGCUGGAAAAUUCCUCCGCUAUGACAUAACCUUUCACCAAAAUUUCUGGCAUGAGUUCAAAACGACACCACAUAUUGUUCAAGAUGAUGUCCAACAGUUGAAGGAGCUACUUUAGAAUCGUAGAUUCCAUAUGCUUGCUUUUUAUACCAACAUAUGCUUUUACAUGGUUUAGUGGCCACUUUUAUACAAAUAUGUACACCUGGAUAUGGUGGCAACACGUCUUGGACUACUGGACAACAUUGAUAGUUUGAAAAUAUACUCAAUCAUUUUUCAUUUUAUUUCUACGACUAAAGAGUGUUGCCAUGUACAAAAAGGACAA
Triticum dicoccoides is the source of this 1276-nucleotide long non-coding RNA. RefSeq lists it as uncharacterized. The record is from RefSeq and is a predicted model, not a curated record. The transcript has 9 exons. NCBI's taxonomy places the organism in Eukaryota, Viridiplantae, Streptophyta, Magnoliopsida, Poales, Poaceae.